RNAcentral lists this unclassified non-coding RNA (263 nucleotides) under plant metagenome. Its description in RNAcentral is "partial contains small subunit ribosomal RNA, internal transcribed spacer 1, and 5.8S ribosomal RNA". The record is from RNAcentral.
UUUCCGUAGGUGAACCUGCGGAAGGAUCAUUAUGGUAUAACGGAGGUGCGAGGGCUGUCGCUGCACCGUAAGUUCGUGCACGCCCGAGUGCCGUCCCACUCAUCACUCUCCCCCCUAUGUACACCGCCGCGUGGGACCCCCUUUGGCUUGUUCGGAGGGGGGCUUACCGUUUCUCACAAACUUUGUAUGCAGUGUAGAAUGUAUUUUUUGUUUUUGCGAUCACGCAAUAAAUACAACUUUCAACAACGGAUCUCUUGGCUCUG